AAUAGGUAUCAAAUGGCCUAAUUUGUGCUAAAAAUAGAGUCCAUGUCGCGACGUCAGGAGAUGUUGUUGCGACGAGCUCUAGACUUUAGGCCACGACAUGACGAGGAACUCCGUUGGCAUAACGAGGCCAAUUUAGUAUGUCACGUCGUGAUGAGGAACCCCUCACGUCGUGACGUCAUCUUGAAGUUUUGAAAAUGAUGUAAAUUAGUCCUUAUUCGAUCUCGGGUUAACUUUAGAGUAUACGUAGGCUAGUAUAAGUCCCAUGAGAGGUUGUAUAUCAUGUUUAUUUUUUGAAAUACUUAUGUUUGCAUGAAUUAUACCUUGACUUGAAAGUUAUAUGUUUGUAGUAGCUAUGGUAAUAGAUGUAGCAUCCUGGAGCUUAGGCUUGGCGAUCGAGUUGGGUAAAAGGUAUUACAUUUAGUGGUAUCAGAGCUACAGUUUAGUUUAGUCUAGAACUGAACGUAAAGCGUGCUAAGUUUAGAAAUACAUGCCACAAUAACCUGUGAUAGCGUGAUGCCUUCUGAUCCAAGAUUCUGCUUUUUCUUAUAGAUAAACCUUAUCAAUCGAAUUGAAUCGUGCCGUAUCAGAUAAAGUAGAUAGUAACGUUCAUACUUCUGAUUAGGAAGCUACAAAUAGUAUGCUUAUUUCGCAAAGGUUUAGGAGUAAGGCAAAAGGCGUCUUCUUCCAAAUGAUAAACUAAUGGUUCAAUCAGUUAAAUCGAGCUACCCCUUUAGCUCCACAGUCCCAAAUGCAACCUCCACCCUUAAUCGUGCCUCUUACGACACCCCUUAUCCUCAGAACCCAAAUUCGAUAAAUGUUCAUUGACCCCCGAUUUAUAAAAUUCAAAAGUGUGGGGCUAAAGAAUUUAGAGGUAAAAGGAUGAUAAUCCGACUGAAGUUGAAUAUUGGUUGGAAAAUACUGUGAGGGUGCUCGAUGAAAUGAUGUGUAUGCCGAAAGAUUGCUUGAGAUGUGUUAUAUCAUUACUAAAAGAAGAGGCGUAUUAGUUGUAAUAGCUCGAUUUAGACCCUAGUCGGACAGUGGUUUCGGGACCACAAAUUUGAGUCAGAAAAAUAUUUUAAUAUUAUUUUCCGUGCUUAUAGUAUGUGAAUUGACAUGUGUGAAAUUUUCGUGAAUUAAUUUUAUCGUUUGUGUGCCGAUUUGUGAAAAAGGACUUAAUCGUGUAAAAUGAAAAAGUGGUUAGCUAUUUGUUAAAGUGUUUUAUUAUUAUGAAUUUUCUAAUGUGGGGUCCUUAUAUUGAUAUUUAGCCAUCAGAAUUAUGCAUGGACACAUUUAGACAACCAUUAUAAAAGUUAUAAUUAAAUACUUAAGGUUAAAAUAGUAAAAAGUAAAGUAAUAUGUAAUAAAAUAAAUAAAACAUGUUGGUGGAUGAUAUCCAUAUUGCCGAAUCUUGAAAGAAAAAAAAGAAAGAAAUCAGCAAGCUAGGGUUCAGCCAUUUCAAUAUUUGAUUAAGGUAUGUUAGUUGAUCGGUUUUUGAUAAUUUUUAUGUUUUUAAGAUCGUUGCUUUGUGUUUUAGAUAGCCCAAGCUCUAAUUUUUGGUAUUGUUGAUGAAUUUGAAAUUUGCCAUUGAUGAUAGCUUAUGGUUUUCAUUGUUUGAUGAUGGAAAAUAAAUUUUUGAUGUUUGAUUGUUAUGUUUAAUUAAGUGAUUUUUGAUAAAAAUUCAAAUUAGGGAUUUAUUGGUGAAAUUAGAAAAUUUAAGGGUCAAAAUGGGAAAUAAAUAAAAUUAAUGUGCUGCUAGGGACAUAGGGAGAAUUCAGCCUAACUAGAGUUUAAUGAAAUUUUGAGUAUUUUGUGUUGUUUUGAAAUAGGGACUAAAUUGUGAAAAUUUGAAAUGUUAGGGGCUAAAGUGAAAAAUUCCCAAUUAUGUGUUUUUGGAUGUAAUUGAAGGAAUUUGUAAUUAAAUAAGUUAAAUUUGAAUUGAUUUAGAUCAAGAAAAGAAGAAAUCAGAAUUGGAUCGGAGGAAGUCGAAAGUUGUUGAUUAGUCGUUCUGAUCCAUUCGUGUCAGUACAAGGUAAGUACAUAAGUAAUUAUAUAUCGUUAAAUUUGAAUGAAUAUGUUUUAUAAGUGCCGAAUUGAAUUAAGCAUGGGAGUAUUACUUAUGAGUUUGAAUCGAUCGAAUUACGACGUCCGAAAGCUUAUUUCUAGUUUACACCAUGAAUCCUUUGUUGCCUCAACUGCAUCACAUUUACCUUCUUUUGAUAUACCAACUCGAUAUUUUAAGGAAACAAGCCGUUCGUAUUCUUUGUUCGAGUCUAAGCCGAAACGAACCGCCGUUAAGGCAAGAGGUUGUGGGGUAUAUGUUGGAUAGAGGUUCCCAAAUGUGGAGCCUAAGGAAAGCCAAAGCCAAUUUUCAGAGAGUUUUGGCUACUUUUAAGUGCUUUUCCAAUGCUCGGCAAUGGUUCGAUGAAAUCCGCAAGUGGAAUAAUUCGGCAGCAACUGUUUUAGUCAUGGAGAUCUACUGCAUUAUAGUUUUUAAACCAGAUUUGAUAUUACCAACAAUGACUCUUUAUAGUAUUCAAGUUAGGAUCCUCCAAUGGAGAAAGCGACCGAGGCAUCCAACUCAUAUCGAUGUGAACCUAUCGGUUGCCGGAUCUGUGACAGCCGACGAAUUGGACGAAGAGUUUGAUACUUUCCCAUCUUCAAGACAAUGCGAUGUUCUUCGGAUGAGAUAUGAUAGACUGAGUAGUAUUGCAGGGAGAGUUGUGACAGUGAUCAGUGACAUUGCAACACAAGUUGAGAGGUUUCACUCACUGCUAAACUUGCGUGACCCAAGAAUUACAGUGAUGUUCCUUGUUUGUUGUCUUGUUGGACCCUUUAUGUUAUAUUAUUUAAUUAGUCUUAAGGUUCUUCUUAUUUUUGGAGGAUUUUAUGUAAUGAGGCCUCCAUUUUUAGGAAGAUGUGCUAAAUGUACCCCAGAAUUUCUUCAGUAAGCUACCUACAAAAGCAGAUUACAUGUUAUGAGUACACAGCGCCAAGACUUCUUGUAGGUUAUUUGAGCCAAAAUUCAAUUCAGUAAUUAUAAAUUCAAGUUUGAACAACUCGAUUUAUUAAUCAAAUCAAAUUUGAGUAUUAUAAUACUCGUUUCGAAUGGUUUAAUAGUCUAAUCGAAUUUUUAUUUUUUUAGUAUUUUUAUAUUAUUAAUUUAUAAUUUUAUUAUUGUAUAUACAAUAUUAACCUUAAUUUUCCCUUCUUUUUUCAACCGAAACCUAUGUUCACGGGAAGAGAGCUUAUGUUGGUUUAAACAGAUAAACCCAACUAAUUUGGUUUGAUUUGUCUCAAUUUGAGUGCUUUGGACAGUUCUCUAGUUACAAGAUCCAUCUUACCUGUUAGUUUAUUAGUUAUCAAUUUUUAAAAUUUUAAGCUUGGUUAAAAAAAUCAAUUUAAUUUCAUAUUUUUCAAAUUUUCUAAAGUAUAUUUAUAUUUUAUAAUAUAUAGUAAAUAUAUAUCAUUGAAGCUCGAGUUUGGAGUCGAACUUAGAGAUGAUUAUGGGCCGGAUCGGGCCUCGAUAGAAUUUUAUGACAAGGACCGGUUCGGCCCAAAAAGUGGACUUAAAAUUUUGUCUAAGUUCGGCUCAGAUAAAAAUGUUAAAACCUAAGUCCAGCCUGCUCGUAUCAAAAAAAAAUUAUAUUAUUGUUUUUACAUAAAAACAAAUUUAAAAAAUAUAAUACAUCAAAUACACUAAAAACAUUAAAAUAAAUGUUUCUCAACAAAUUGAAAAUAAAUUAAAAAAUUUUAUUUAUACGUAAAUAACACUAAAAUAAGUGCAACUUAGCAUGCAAAUACUUUUAAAAUAGUAGCAAAAUUAACAAUAAAACAAGAGUUAUACAAUAUCAAAAUAAUAACAACAAAAUAGUAACAAUAUAAUAGCGAAACUGCACCGAAAAAGUGACAAAACAGCAUAAAAAAGCAGCAGGUUUUUUUUUCAGAUUCGAGUCGACCUCGGGCCAAAAAAGCUUACCUAAGGCCCGGCCUGUUUAGAAAACGGGCAUAUCUUUUUUUGCCCAAACCCAUUUUUCGAGCCUAUAUUUUUACCUAAACCAUCUCACUUUUCGAGCAGACAUUCGGGUCGGGACGAAUAGCCCGACCCAUGAUCAAGUCUAGUCUAACUCGAGCCCUAAAUUCCUUCUAUCCAUAAAAAAAUGCAUAUUUUAUUUUCAGUUGGCCCGUAGACUUUUACCUAAUGUGUAAUGUAGUACAAAUUAAAUGUCUAAUUUGAUACACCAUGUUGUCGUGUAUCCAUACGGUCCAAAAUUUUUAACACUAUUUAAUUCAUACACUCACUUCACACCAACAAAUAAAUAGAUACAAUGUAAUUUCUUAUUAUUGGUUUUGAAAUUUACCUAUAAUUUUUACUGGCUACUUACAUUUUUACCAAAUGAUUAAAAUAUUUUAUUUUAUUUUUCUUAUUUCAAUUUUCAAAGGAACAACAAAAUUUUGAAAUAACUUAAAAUUUAAUUAAGUGGUAAAAAUAUAAUCAAUGAAUAAAAAGUUAUAUACAAAAUUCAAAAUCAAAUACAAUGACAUGUUUCAUUUAUUCAUUAUUGUUAAAUCAUCGGUUAAGUUGUAUUAAGGUUUUGGACACGAUCUAAGGUUGUCAGUAUUGUAUUAGUGAGCAUGCCCUUUUUGUUAUAAUAUUAGUAUGUAUCAAUAUUAGUAUAUUUUAAUGUAUUGUUUUGAAUUUAUUAAUAUUUUAAAAUACUUUUCAUAUCUAUGUAAUUUAAUUUAAAUUUCUCAAUAAGUUAUAAGUUAUAUAUACAAACAAAUAAAUCUCAAUUACAUCUAUUUAAAUAUAUUUAUAUGUAAAAAUAAGUUCUAAAUUUAUUAAUUGGUCCAAUAGCUUCACUUUAUUUUAAUUUUAAACGCAAUUAUAAAAAAUUAAAAUGUUUAAGAAAAAAAGUUAAAAGAUAAAUUUUAAUAUUAAAAUUUUGUAGCAACUGAUACAGGCUGGUAUUGGCUAGAAUGGGCCAAAACACAUUGGACCAUGCGAAGCAUAUUGAAAUCUUGACCAAAACGAAACCUAAGUAAAAGACUGAAACAGUAUGGUACCGAUUACUAAAUUCGAUUUUUCUACAGGUACUAAAUUACACAUUAGGUGAAAUUUUGGUGGCUAACAAAGGCAUUAACCCAUUUAGUUUGUUUCAGAUGACUUUAAUUACUGGAUUACCCCCAUUGCACUAUUUAAAAAAAAUGAAAAGUAGAAAAAAAAAGGUUCUUAAUGAAUGCUGAGCCCUCGCUAUUUUCAUUUUAAUUACCAGAUUACCCCCAUUGCACUGUUUAAAAAAAUAAAAAGGAGAAAAAAAAGCUUCUUAAUGAAUGCUGAGCCCUCGCUAUUUUCUUUUCGUCACUUCCGCUCUUCUCUGUUAAAUGUUUCGCCGUCGUUGCCUACCAUCAAUUUGCUAAGGUACACCGGAAACGACUUUCUUUUAUUCUCAUAUAUAGUAAUUUUAUAUUACUUUUUAUAUUUUUUUUCUCGUUUCAUUUCAAGUUUUAGAGUGUUUUAUUCAUUGUUUUUUUUUUGAGUAUUAGUUUGACAAUAAACACAAAGAAAAUGACCAUUUUUGUCCCAUGAUUGAGAUUGUUUAUUAGCUCCUCUUGACCAAUUUAAAGUCCCAUUUUUCUUUGGCUUUUUAUUGUGUCUUUUAAUCAUUUUUCCCUUUCUUUGUAUGGUGGGUUAUUUCUCGUUUCUAAUUUGUUUAUUGUUUUCAUUAUCGUUGCAUGAGUUUAUGAUUCAAAUAUUGAUUCUGAGCAUUGAAAAUUUUCCGAUUAUGUUGAUUUAUUGAUGAAUUAGAAUUGUUAAUGUAGAAAGUUCUGCUAAAAUUUAUAAAAUAAUGAUGCUGUUUGUACAACUAAAACACAUAUUUAAUGGAAAAAGCAGCAUGGAAACCCUUUUGCCCCUGUACAUUAAAUCAAAGAGUAAACUAGGCCUUUUAGUCAAAAUUUUAUUUUUCAUCUAAAGUGGUUGACAGAAUAACCAGACAAUUACAUUUGAUGCGUUACAUGUACCUUAUUUUGAUGUAUAGGAACAAUUUUUUAAUAGCAGAAAUGAAUAAAAAUUUUAACACAAGGACCAAUUUGCUCUUUGAUUUAAAGUACAAGGAUUAAUUUGCUCAUUUUUUUAGUAGAAGAGGCAAAAAGCAAUCUAUCUUCUACUACAAGGGCUUCCAUGGUACUAUUACCUUGAAAGCAACAUUUUAAAAUGAAUGAAAUAUAAUUUCUGAUAAUGGAGGGGUAUAAAUGUGUUUUUCCCCCUUUUUCGAUCAAAAGAAAAUAGAUUGACGAUGGGAUUACCAAAUGCGAGCGAUGACUUGUCAACUGAAGUUGAGGUAGAUGCUUUCAGACGCCUCUUUCCCCUUCGUUUCUAUGAGAAACAUCUUUUAAAGUCUAUACGUCCUGAUGCUCGUCCGCUUGGAAGAGCAAGAGAAACCACCAUUGGCCUUGGUUAGUAAAAGAAAAAGGAUAUAACUAUGAAACUUUUAUGUGACAUAAUAUUUCUUCAUACUUGGAUCUGAUUCCUUUAAUAUCCAGGGGCUGUUGCAUCUGCUAAUGGUUCAGCACUUGCAAAAAUUGGUUCAACUGUAAGUUUGUCACUUUCUCUUAAUACAUAUACUGCUUUGAUUUGGCAAGCAAUUAAGCUUGGAGUUUAAUAAUUAAUUCCUUGCAUGGAAUAGACUAUGUUGGGUGCUAUAAAAAUGGAGGUCAUGACCCCUUCAUUGGAAACACAGGAUGAGGGUUGUAUAGGUUUGCUACCGUUAACUGCACGCUUUCCUGUUUCUCUUUCUCUUCUUAAAACGUAUCUCUUAUCUCUCGUACUUUAUCAUAAUUUCUUUUUCAUUUUUAGCGAUUUAUUUCCACAUGCCUCCAAUUUGUUCUCCAGUUGUUAGGCCUGGCAGACCGGCUGAGGGAGCACCAGUCGUUGCAAAGCAAUUGUCAGACACUAUUUUAAGGCAUGCCAAUUUAGUUCCUUGAUUGUUUAUUGAUGCUGAGAUGCACUCUAUUAAGCCUGUUAAUUUACUUGUAGUUGUGACGUGUGAUGUUUAUCUGUGCUGUAAUUCUUUAGAAUGUAAAGUCUGCAAUUUGUUCUCUCAUCUUUGUGUCGAUUCAAUCAUUAUCUUCCUCUUCGCCUCUGUAUUUACUUAUGAUUAUUGAUGUGAUUAUUGAUGUGGAUUCAAUUUGUUCUCCCUCUUGCUUCUUACUGCUUGCUGAAGCACUCUGGCCAGUUAUUUUAUCUAAAUUUGUUGGUGGUUUCGAUUCUUUUGAAUCUCUUUACACUUAUAAAUGUUCUAUUUCAAAACUGUUCCACUUUGAAUCCUUUUCUUUCUGUUAUGUUCUCAAACAACUUGUCAUGUGUAAUUACAGCUCUGGCAUGAUCAAUUUGAAGGAACUGUCCUUCGUUAGUGGAAAAGCUGCUUGGAUGGCAUAUUUGGUACGUGAUUGCGGUUUUAGAAUAUCAUAAUUAUCCGUCUUAGGACUUUCAAGUUGUGUAAGAGUUCAAACAUAAGCCAUCUAGCGUUCAUGCAAGUUGAUAUGGAAAUUCAAGUAAUACCAUAGUGCCUUUGUUCUCCUUGAAUAUGGAAGUAACAUAGUAUUCUGUUUUUUCAGGACAUAUACUGUUUGGAUGCUGAUGGUGCUACUUUUGACACUGCAUUACUCUCAGCUGUUGCUGCCUUUUCUCAUUGUAAGUGUUUCUCUCAUUUUCAUCAAAUAUUAUAACAUCAAUUCACCAUGCCACUAAAUAUGAUGAUACUUGCCAAAAACAACCAACCUCUUCCAUGAGAAAGAAGAUUGACAAUGAGAGGGAAAAGAAAAUUUGCGAUGGUAAAAUUGCUUUGUUCUUUUAAAGAGAAAAAUGUAUGACCGCCUGAGGAAUUCCUCUGGUGUAAAUUAAAUUAAAAGUAGCAUAAAUUAUCCCAAAAACUCGAGCUAAUUUAAAACAUCUAUUGUCUUGGAUCGAGAGAACAGAAGCUCGAUGUCUUUUAAACCAAACCAACUUGGACGGGCAUCUCGAAUAUAAACACCUCUAGACUCAACCCAUAAGCACUUAAUUACAACGAGAGUAAAUUGCAUCAGAGGUCCCCAAACUAUGAUUCUCAUUUUCCAUGGGUUUCAAAUUUUAAAAAAUUUUGAUUAUAUCUCCUAAUUUUCAAGGUUAUGUCAAUUAAGUCCUUUCAUUACUAAACUUGUUAAAUUCGCUAUUGAACAAAAUGACACUUUACUUUUUAAAUUUUAAAUUAUGUCAAAUAGGAUCUAAUAUGUUGCUUAACAACGAACUUAAUGGUUUUAGUAUCAUAGGGACUUAAUUAACAUAAUCUUAAAAGUUUAAGGAUAUAAUUAGAAUAUUUUAAAGUUUAACAAUUAAUUUAAAAUAAGUUAUAGUUUAGGAGCCUCUAGUGCAAUUUACUCUUUUAACGAGCUACAUCUAUGAAUGACUAAGAUUUCUUAUUAGUAGCGUGUCAAAAUUUCACUAAUUGUGUUCUAAAAUCAUUUAAAACAAAUAAAAGAAUUGUUUAAAAGAUCAAAGAUUUCGACUUUUGAUUUAAUAUUUAAUGGCGAUUUUCACUAUUUUUAUUUAAAAAAAAACAAUUUAAUUUUACAUGUUUUUCAUACACGAUCUUCCUCUUCUUCAUUAGUAUCGUCCUUAAAACUGAUCCAAUCCAAAUCCAAAUCCAAAUCCAAAAAACCCAAAGUAAAUAUAUGGAGCUACGAACAUUCCAUCAUCAUCUUCUUCAAGUGUUUAUGUUAUUAUCUUUGAUAAGCAAUUGUUACGCGAGAUUCGUGGUGGAAAAGAACAGCUUGACGGUAACAUCGCCGGAGAAGAUUAAAGGAACCCAUGAUAGUGCGAUUGGGAACUUUGGGAUACCUCAAUAUGGUGGAAGCAUGGCUGGUGUUGUGGUUUACCCUGAAGAAAACCAAAAAGCUUGUAAAAGCUUUGAUGACUUUUGGAUUUCGUUUAAAUCCAAGCCUGGUUCUCUUCCUACCUUUGUUUUGGUCGAUCGUGGAGGUACUCUAUUUUUUUUCCUCAAAAUUUUCGCCUUAUAAGAAAAAUUAAUCUGUGGUUUUGUUUAUUUGAGCUAUAAUUUGUUUGUUGUAGGGUUGAACGAUGAGGAAUUUUUGUGUUGUUUUAGCUAAUUUGAGUAAUUCCAAAUUGGGGAAUUUUUAAUAUUAGGUUUAAAGUUCAAUUUGUUGGAUUUGGUUUAUUUAUGGGGCAAUAAUUUAUUUGUUAGUUUGGGAUUUGAGGGUUAAUUGAUUUGGUUUUUCCAUCUACUUGGAUUUAUGUUAUUAUUUUUUAACUAAUUCAUUUAAAUAAAUUUAGCUUUAUCAGUUUCCAUUGAUUUCAUUAUCAUUAUUUAUAUAUUUAUUCAUUCAUUUAUGUAUUAAUAUACUUGUUUUCAGCUUUGCUUUAAGUUGUUUGGACGGAUGUCUUUUUCUCUUUUUAUCUUACUAGUUGUUUUCUGAAAUUAGGUCCACUCUUUUAGCUUCAUUUCCCUCCUUUCAUAGGGAUAUAGCCUUAGAGGUGUCUACAAAAGUAGAGCUAAGUUUCUCUGAUUCUUGGUUUUGCUUUAAGUACCAGUUUUAGACUCAAUAUCCGAACAUGUGUACGGUGAUAUGAUUUUUCAAAGAUCCUUCUAAGUAACAUGGGCGAGAGCUAGGCUUUUAGAAAUCCAGUGUAGUGUUUCAACUUACUGUCCAGUUGUUAUUUGAAACACCAGUGAUGGCGGUUACUUUUUUCACAGAUGUGGAGACGAAUGAAUGCUUGGAAAAUAAUGGUGGUUGUUGGCAAGAUAAAACAGUAAAUCUCACAGCCUGCAGGGUAUGAAUCAAAACAUAUUUGAUAGGGGUUCUCUACUCCAUGAGCUUAUUUGAAUAUAUUGAUUUGCUUCUUAGGAUACAUUUCGAGGAAGAGUUUGUGAAUGCCUCUUGGUUGAUGGUGUGCAAUUCAAAGGAGAUGGAUACAGUCACUGUGAAGGUGAGAAUCAAGAUUUUAUUUGCACGGAUUAAGUGUUCAUUUGUGAUUCAUGUCUUAUGAGAAAGAAGAUUGACAAUCAGAAUAUUUGGGAUGGUUAGGAAGAAUUUAGAUUGUUAGGAAGAAUUCUAAAAAAAGGACAAGACAUUAAAGCAUUUUCCAUGUAGUUUGGCAUGACAAAUCCAUUUCAUGUUACUUUUGAUUACUUAUAGAAAUGUUCUCUUAAUUUUUCAUUCAAUCAAAUUUUGGAAUUAUAGUUUGGCAUCUUAAUUUUACAUUCAAUAGGGCAGUUUGACAUGACAAUCAAAGUCUAUAUAAAACCUAUAUAAAGCAAUGCAAAGCAAUCGUCAACAAAUCAGAUCAAAUAUAUACAUAAUGUGGGAGAAAUCAUGGUUGUUGAUGUUCUGUUUGCUGUUGUUGAUUCUUGUUAGGCCCUAACGUCAAGUUGUUACAGCACUCGCCCCCGUUGGAUUUGGGUAUGCGUUUUGUGGAACUAGUUGCGUAGCCAACGGAACUUCCCUUAGGGAUGGUAUUCAACGUUGCCUAGUUUCAGAAGCACUAAUGGAGACUCUGGAGGAAACCCACCUCACGAGCAGUUCCGUAUUCUGCACGGUUGGGUUUGCUACCAUGACACGUUCGAGGCUAAGCAGCCAAGGGAGGAUGCCUGCUAAUUUUUCUUUUUUUUUCUUUUAUAUUAAUAUUUGAUGGUAAGUACGUAAGUAUAUUAACUUCACGAUUUGUUUUGUUUUUGUUAGUUGCUAGGGAAGUUGCAGGCUGCGUCAAUACUUGUGUAGGGAGAUGCGCCAUGAAGAACUGAUGAUAAUCACCUAUGCACGAAAUUAUAAUAAAAUGCCUUUAAUUACAUUUAGCCUGAAUGAAAAAAAAAACAUAAUUUGGUUGCUGUUGUAUUUUCAGUUUUAUAUUUACAAGUGAACAUAGAUUUAGAGUGUAUGAUUUGAGUUUGGUUGGUUCUUAAACAGAUGGAUGAUAAUAAAAAUGAGUUUCAAAAUAAUGGUGAUCUAAGCAUUUCGUAGUAAUGGCUUAUAGUUACCUACGGAUUAGAUAAUUCAGUUACAUUACUACAAUGCUAUUACGCUGUUAAUGAUCCUCUGGAUAUCCGUUUGAAGUACCCGUUUUAGACUCAAUAUCCAAACACGCACAUGGGGACUCAUGACUUUUCAAAGAUCCUCCAGAUACAUGAAAAACAAAAACGAACAUAUUCGUGUUAAACAUGUGCCUACAUUUGAAACUCAUACCCGAGUUCGAGUGAACAUAGAUUUAGAGUGUGUGAUUUGAGUUUGGUUGGUUCUCAAACAGAUGUAUGGUGAUAAAAAUGAGGUUCAAAAUGCUGGUUGAUCUAAGCAUUAGGUAGUAAUGGCUUAUAGUUACGUCCGGAUUAGAUAAUUCAGUUACAUUACUAUAAUGUGAUUACACCUUGUUAAAGAGAUGAGAAAAAUCUAUAGUGUUGCCUAUAUACGGACUCCAGUUGCUGCUAAGGUUGUAAAAUUUGCUUAUUGUCCUUGAUUGAGUUAUGGUCUUAGAUGUAAUUUUUCUUUCGUUUUUGAUAUGUAUAUAUAUAUUUGCGGAGACUGCAUUUAGCGCAUUUUUUCUUAUUAUUUUUCUAGAUUGCUUCUUUGCUUUAAAGGUUUGGAAUGUACGGCAAGCAGGUGCUUCUGCAAUGCUUGUUGCGGAUGAUAUUGAAGAAGCAUUAAUAACCAUGGACAAUCCUGAAAAGGACAGUUCAUCUGCCAAAUACAUUGAAAAUAUAACAAUUCCAUCUGCCCUUAUCGAGAAAACUUUUGGUAAAACUCUAACCCUGAUGAUCGUGACGAGUACGAGUUAUGGACCAACAGCAAUGAUGAAUGUGGAGUUAAAUGUGAUAUGCUGAUGGCAUUUGUGAAGGAUUUCAGGGGUGCUGCUCAGAUUCUCGAAAAAGCUGGCUAUACGCACUUCACACCCCAUUAUAUAACUUGGUACUGCCCUCAAGCUUUCACCCUAAGCCGACACUGCAAAUCUCAAUGCAUCAACCGCGGAAGAUACUGUGAAGGUGAGAAUCAAGAUUUUAUUUGCACGGAUUAAGUGUUUACUUCGAAGGUAUUGUUUAAAAUAUGAAGUUAAAGAUUUAGUGUUCAUUUGUGAUUCAUGUCUUAUGAGACAGAAGAUUGACAAUCAGAAUAUUUGGGAUGGUUAGAAAGAAUUUAGAUUGUUAGGAAGAAUUCUAAAAAAAGGACAAGAUAUUAAAGCAUUUCUUUUGGCAUGACAAAUCCAUUUUGUCGAAACUAUUUUUUUGAAAAAACAAAAAUUUUAGGUUGUCGACUUUAAAAAAUGAAAAUUGGGAGUCGCCACCAAUCUUUUAUUAAGGUGUGAUUGAAUCACCUAAAAAAACGGCUUUGGUCUACGAGUUUUAGAAAAACGGAUCCGGAAGUCAGUUACGUUCGAGGAAGGAUUAGCACAUUCGUAAUGCUCAAAAAUUGGUACCUAAUUAAUUAAUUAAUGUCUUAAUGUCGAAAAUUUGAAAAAUAUAAUCCUUAGCAAAAACUCUUAAACGUUACGUAUUAAGACCCUUAUCAUUUCAGAGAAAGAAAAUGCCACAACCAAUGCGUUAGGGCACGACAUUCUAAUUUCCUCAAAAAUGAAUUAGGCCAGAAUACUUGUGUAAUAAAAAUUUAAAAGAAUAUCCAUUUAUUCAAGAUUUAAAAAAUCGCGGCCCAAUACGUUAGGGCACAAUUCCUCCAAAAUCCCAAACUCGGAAUAUUUCCUUUAUUAUUUUUAGAAAAAAUCUUCAUUUCGAGAAAUCAAUGCGUCACAUCCAAUACGUUAGGACACAAUGUGUUGAAUUCCCAAUAAUGAGUUCUUAUUUUUUGAUUAAAGAGAAAUGCUCGAUUGUUAGAUUUAACGAAGAAAAUCGGAACCCAAUACGUUAGGGCUUAAUUUCCUUGAAAAUCCUAAAUACAAGCAUUAUCUCAAUUUUGAAAAGUCCUUUUUUUUUUAAAUUUGAAUAAGAAGAUGAUGUAAUGUGAUAUUGAAUGUGUGUAAUAAUGUCGCAAUAACAAGUACAACAAUCUUGCACCAUAUUGGCAAUCGAAAGGUAAUGAAUUAAAAGCUAAUUUUCAAAAGAAAUAAAUCCUACGUGAAAUAAUAAUAUCUUGAUAAACUUUUAACUAAACAUUAUAUACGAAAAAAAAGUGAUAUAUGUAAAAUACGUAUAUUUAGAAAAGUAGAUGACUUAAUAAUAAUAUACAAUAGUAUAUGUAAAAAAUAAUUUGAUGUAAACGAAAUACAUUAAAAUAGGUAAAAUAUAAUAAAAUAGUUUUUUUUAAGAGGAAAGUUAUAUAUGGUAAUAAGACAAAAAUGAAAUCUAUAAUUUAUAACAAGAAUAAUUUAAUAUCAAUCAUGUAUAUAUACAAAGCAUGGUAUCGUAAAAAAAUAUUAUUAUAUAAAUCUAUUAAAAUAUAGAAACCUAUUUAAAUGAAUAAAAAAAUAAAACCAAAAUCGUUGAAGAUAUACCAUAUUUGGAGGCAAAUAUAUAAAAGGAAUAGGAAAAAUAUAUUUAUGAAAUUAAAUAAUGACAUAUAAUAGUAAUAUAAAAAAAAUACAUAGUAAGAUAAAACUAUGCGCAUGAAAUUUAAGUAAAUUGAUAAGAAGAAAUAAUGAAAAUAAUAAUAACAAUAAUAGUACAAAUAAUAAUAGGAUUAAUAAAUAAUAAUAAUAAAUUAAUUAGUAAAAGCACAAAUACAAAAGGGAUUAAAUUGCAACUAAAACAGAAUUAGAGGGAAAAAAAAUGAAGGGCCCAAUUAAAAGGCGCGAAUAAUUCAUAGGCCUCAAAUGGGAAAAUAUCCCCAUUCUUUGAAACGCGUCCCUUUAUUAGGGCUAAAUAAAAAAAUAAAUAAAAUUUGCAGUGCUAUCACCUUCUCCCCUUUUUUUAAAAUCGUAAAUAAGUAAAAAAUAAUCGAAAAAGAAAAAAAACCAGUAAGCCACAUUUAAAAAACUGCCAAUCGUUCUCUUUUUUUAUUGAUUUUUUUUCUCCCUUUUAAAUGAAGGGAGAGACCUCUAUUUAUAGCUGAGCCUCCCCAAAUCCAACGGCACAGAUCAAUUACAUCAACGGUGAAGAUUAAAGGGUAUCUACAAAUUAAAUCUCUAAGAUUACAAAAUCACAUCUUCUAAGAUUACAUAUCAUAUCUAAGAUUGCAUAUAUCAUAUCUAAGAUUGCAUAUCCUCGAAGAUUAUGUUUCCAUAUGUGAGUCCGAGUACCUUCGAGUUAACGUAAUUCAAGCAUGAGAUUUAGUCCUAGAAAGCAAUGAUCGAAAUCCCCAAGUUUAUGUUAAGGCUGUAGUUGGGGAUGUGAUAUUGAGGUUCAGAGUUUCCCUUGAUAAGAAUGUGAAUCCUCAAUGGAAUGAGGAUUUGAUGUUCGUUGUUGCUGAGCCAUUUUUCGAUUCUUUAAUAGUAACGGUCGAGGGUAGGCUCGAAAAUAAUACAGUCUGAUGUUUAGGGAAGUGCGUGAUUCGUUUAUCGAAUGUUGAACAGAGGCUACUACCUUUACCAGUUGAUCCAUUGUGGUACACUCUUGAGGACAUUGUAUUUGAAGACGAAAUGGAGAAAGAGGUGAAUUUCUUUAGUAAGCUUAACAUGUGUGUAAGUUUUAAUGGCGGAUAUCUUGUGUUCGAUGAAUCUGUUCACAACGGAAGCGAUUACCGGCCUAUUGCAAAAAUGUUGUGGACGGCUAUGAUCGGAGUUUUGGAGUUGGGGAUCAUAAACGCUUCCGGUUUACAACCAAUGAAGUUAAGAGACGGUCGUGAAAUGACCGAUGCUUAUUACGUGGCGAAAUACGGCCUAAGUGGGUCAAGACUCGGACAGUUGUUGACAGUUUCGAUCCAAAAUGGAAUGAACAGUAUAGUUGGGAUGUUUAUGACCCAUAUACCAUGCUUACCAUAGGAGUUUUCGAUGACUGUCACUUGCAUGGUGGCGAUGCAGUUGGAGAUGGAAAAGAUUCGAGUCUCGGAAAGGUACGAAUUCAAUUUUCAACUCUUGCAACGAACAAGAUUUACACAUAUUCUUAUCCCCUUUUGGUGUUACAACCCAAUGGAGCGAAAAAAAUGGGAGAACUUUAGCUAUCAAUAAGAUUUACUUGCUCAUCUUACUUGAGCUUAUUUCUGGUUUACACCAUGAAUCCUUUGUUGCCUCAAAUGCAUCAUAUUUACUCUCUUUCGAUAUACCAACUCGAUAUUUUAAGGAAACAAGCCGUUCGUAUUCUUUGUUCGAGUCUAAGCCUAAACGAACUGCCGUUAAGGCAAGAGGUUGUGGAGUACAUGUUGGAUGGAGGUUCCCAAAUGUGGAGCCUAAGGAAAGCCAAAGCCAAUUUUCAGAGAGUUUUGGCUACUUUUAAGUGCUUUUCCAAUGCUCGGCAAUGGUUCAAUGAAAUCCGCAAGUGGAAUAAUUCGGCAGUAAUUGUAUUAGUCAUGGCGAUCUACUGUAUUAUAGUUUUUAAACCAGAUUUGAUAUUACCAACAGUGACUCUUUAUAGUAUUCAAGUUAUGAUCCUCUAUUGGAGAAAGCGACCGAGGCGUCCAACUCAUAUCGAUGUGAACCUAUCGGUUGUCGGAUCUGUAACAGCCGACGAAUUGGAUGAAGAGUUUGAUACAUUCCCAUCUUCAAGACAAUUCGAUGUUCUUCAGAUGAGAUAUGAUAGACUGAGAAGUAUUGUGGGGAGAGUUGUGACAGUGAUCAGUGACAUUGCAACACAGGUUGAGAGGUUUCAUUCACUGCUAAACUGGCGUGACCCAAGAAUUACAAUGAUGUUCCUUGUUUGUUGUCUUGUUGGAUCCUUCAUGUUAUAUUAUUUAAUUAGUCUUUAGGUUUUUCUUAUUUUUGGAGGAUUUUAUGUAAUAAGGCCUCCAUUUUUAGGAAAAGAAGUGCUAAAUGCACCCUAGAAUUUCUUUAGUAGGCUACCUACAAAAGCAGAUUACAUGUUAUGAGUACACAACGC
RNAcentral lists this long non-coding RNA (15962 nucleotides) under Gossypium barbadense (sea-island cotton). Its description in RNAcentral is "long non-coding RNA (GBAR_LNC013365)". The record is from RNAcentral. Lineage: Eukaryota; Viridiplantae; Streptophyta; Magnoliopsida; Malvales; Malvaceae.